GAUGAACGCUAGCGGCAGGCUUAAUACAUGCAAGUCGUGGGGCAGCAGGUCUGUAGCAAUACAGAUGCUGGCGACCGGCAAACGGGUGCGGAACACGUACACAACUUUCCUUUAAGUGGGGAAUAGCCCAGAGAACUUUGGAUUAAUACCCCGUAACAUAGUGAAAAGGCAUCUUUUUAUUAUUAUAGCAGCAAUGCGCUUAAUGAUGGGUGUGCGUCUGAUUAGGUAGUUGGCGGAGUAAUAGCCCACCAAGCCUACGAUCAGUAACUGGUGUGAGAGCACGACCAGUCACACGGGCACUGAGACACGGGCCCGACUCCUACGGGAGGCAGCAGUAAGGAAUAUUGGGCAAUGGACGCAAGUCUGACCCAGCCAUGCCGCGUGGAGGAUGAAGGUCCUCUGGAUUGUAAACUUCUUUUAUCUGGGAAGAAAUCCAUCUUUUCUUGGGUGGUUGAUGGUACCAGAUGAAUAAGCACCGGCUAACUCCGUGCCAGCCGCCGCAGUAA
RNAcentral lists this ribosomal RNA (506 nucleotides) under uncultured bacterium. RNAcentral describes it as "partial 16S ribosomal RNA". It matches the Rfam family "Bacterial small subunit ribosomal RNA", at positions 28 to 523 of the family's 1533-position model. The record is from RNAcentral.